UACGAAGGGGGCUAGCGUUGCUCGGAAUCACUGGGCGUAAAGGGUGCGUAGGCGGGUCUUUAAGUCAGGGGUGAAAUCCUGGAGCUCAACUCCAGAACUGCCUUUGAUACUGAAGAUCUUGAGUUCGGAAGAGGUGAGUGGAACUGCGAGUGUAGAGGUGAAAUUCGUAGAUAUUCGCAAGAACACCAGUGGCGAAGGCGGCUCACUGGCCCGAUACUGACGCUGAGGCACGAAAGCGUGGGGAGCAAACAGG
RNAcentral lists this ribosomal RNA (253 nucleotides) under uncultured bacterium. Its description in RNAcentral is "partial 16S ribosomal RNA". It matches the Rfam family "Bacterial small subunit ribosomal RNA", at positions 524 to 776 of the family's 1533-position model. The record is from RNAcentral.